UAUCAAUGUGGAGUGUGUUGCAUACAAGCAAAUAGUAUUGAACAUGUUAAUGGGAUGCAUAAGGCCUCGUUGGCUAAGUUUUCUGUGCUUUUUCCAUGAUAGCCCAUUGGGUACCGGAGUUCAUGCUUCCUGCAUGAUCCAAUCUACAUCUGGUCGAAACUGCUACUCCUUUUUCUUUAGUAAAAUCACUUUGAACCUAAAAUCACUUUGAAAAAGAUAUGUGUAUAUAUAUACA
Molecule: long non-coding RNA, 235 nt
Filed under: Elaeis guineensis (African oil palm)
Lineage: Eukaryota; Viridiplantae; Streptophyta; Magnoliopsida; Arecales; Arecaceae
Description: long non-coding RNA (EGUI_LNC006124)
Source: RNAcentral